RNA transcript from Trichechus manatus latirostris (Florida manatee), 6092 nucleotides. It is a transcript of the gene named solute carrier family 25 member 37, with no coding region annotated. The transcript has 7 exons. The record is from RefSeq and is a predicted model, not a curated record. NCBI's taxonomy places the organism in Eukaryota, Metazoa, Chordata, Mammalia, Sirenia, Trichechidae.
UUUUUUAAAAAAAAAAAAAACAUUCAAAAGCAAUUAAUGAUCAGACAUAGGAAAAACCUUGAAUAGAAACAAAACUUUUGAAUGCUGGAUUCAGAAAAAAAGUUAUCUGGACAGCUUCUUUGAGACUAUUUAAAAACUGGUACAACAGGUCUCUACAACGUCAAGAUCUAACUAAGCUUUAAAAGGUCAAGAAGUUUUAUGGCUGACAAAGGAUUUUCACCAGCACAGAUGACCUUUACCACCUUAAGCUUCUGGGGAUUUGGGAAUUUUACCCCCGUUCUCUUCCGUUUGGCUGAGUUGCAUCUCUUCUGCGAGCAAGGGCUGAAAUAGUUUUGUUGUUGUGAGGGCGGUUGGGGGUUGUGAGUUUGCGCACAGCUCUUACAUAAGGCGUGCUUUACUGGGCCGGGCAAAGCGGUUAUUCUUUCUUCUUGGGUGGGUUUGGCUUUUGUUGUUUUUGUCUGGGUAUGAAAUGCAAAUAUGUGUAGCAGUAAAAAAAAAAAACAAUCUGUUGCCAUUGGGUCAAUUCAGACCCCUAGCAACUCUAGAGGGGUACUUAUUUUGACAAAAUUGAUUUUUCAAGAAUGGAGUAGAAGUGACCAGCAACAACUGUUUUUCCUUCUCUUUUUGUUCCAUUCAGAGAGAACCAAAAAGCACCCCUUCCAUCAGCAAACCUUGGUAAUAAUAAAUGCUCCUGGCUGGUUUGCAAACGUUUAAUUUGGCCAUUUGUUGCAUUUAGUGAGAUGAUCACUACGAGCCAUACUCGGGGGCUGUCCCCGACUUCAUGUCAUGUUGCCAGGCAUGGAGGGGGUGGGGCUUCCUUUUGGUGAAACUGCCUUAUGUAAUAGUUUAGCUCCUUGGUCGCUACACCUCUUGAACGGGGUUUGGCAGAACCUAGUUUCUACCAGGCUCUGCCCAGUUCUGUUUCUGCAGCAUUCUGGUGUAUGCUGUGGUUGGUUUUGACCUUUCUUGGGGGUAAUUAUAAGUGUGUGUGGAGGGGGAGGGACAGAUGCAUUCCUGAAGAGUUAUCCUGCUGUCCCUCAUCCUCCCACCGUUCAAUGGUCAUUUUAAUCACUUGGCAGUGUCACCACAGAGGAAGGAAACCCAAAACCAAAGGGAUAGCUGGGAGUAUGGCCACCCUGCUCCACGAUGCGGUAAUGAAUCCAGCAGAAGUUGUGAAGCAACGCAUGCAGAUGUACAACUCGCCCCACCGGUCAGCCCUCAGCUGCAUCCGGAUGGUGUGGACGACUGAGGGGUUGGGGGCCUUCUACCGGAGUUACACCACGCAGCUGACCAUGAACAUUCCCUUCCAGUCCAUCCAUUUCAUCACCUACGAAUUCCUGCAGGAGCAGGUCAACCCUCAUCGCGAGUACAACCCACAAUCCCACAUUAUCUCAGGAGGGCUGGCCGGGGCCAUUGCCGCGGCUGCCACCACCCCCCUGGAUGUCUGUAAGACCCUCCUCAACACUCAGGAACAUGUGGCUCUCUCCCUGGCCAAUGUCAGCGGUCGCCUGUCAGGCAUGGCCAAUGCUUUCCGGACAGUGUAUCAGCUCAAUGGCCUGCCCGGCUACUUCAAAGGUGUGCAGGCACGUGUCAUCUACCAGAUGCCAUCCACGGCCAUCUCUUGGUCCGUCUAUGAGUUUUUCAAGUACUUCCUCACCAAGCACAAGCUGGAGAAUCGAACUCCAUACUAAAGGAACAGACAGUGGGAGGGAUUGAAAUUUCCUUGAGGGUUUGUCACGGGUUGAGCAACACUGGAUUUUGAGUGAGAUGACAACCAGCCCUGUGGACUAGAGCAAGAGGACUGUAGGAGGAACUUAUAAUCUAGUUGCAAAAAGAAAACACAUACCGUAGCAGAUGCUUGUGAUGGUUUAUGGGGCAUUGCACCAAAUCCACUCAGCUUUCUGCUAAAGAAGACCACUCUGCUGUGUUCAGGUGUGACCUCAAACUACGAAGCCGUAAGUGGGGGGAGGAGUGAAAUCCUUCAAGGGCAACCCCAAACAAUGGGGGCAGGAAUCCAUGGCUAUCUGCUGCAGCCUCCCCUCUUUAAUUGGGACAAUUCCAAGGUAUGUUCUAUGGGGUUCCUCAGAGGGUCCCAAUGGGAUUGAGACCCAGUUGCUCAAGGUGGUAACCAGCUUUUGAUUGACUUUUCUUCCUUCCCUGUCUCACAUUGUACCUUCUCUUACUUCUGCUUCCUGGCAUCAUCUUCUAAAUGUACUACCUGUCCUCAGUUCCUUGGCUCACACUCUGCUUUCUGGAGAACUCAAACUAAAAACACACAUUUGCUCACUCAUGUUUCUAGAAUAGCUCACUCUACAAGACAAAGUGGCACCACAUAGAUGAUGCAUGCAUUAUGAACUAUGAGUUCAGAGGAGUGGGCCAUUAAAAGGUUUUAUGGUGGGUGGAAUAGGCUUUGUACCGGAGGACAGAAUUACUCCUUCUGUCAAGGGCAGAUACACUGACAUUGAAUGAAGGAAGAUCAUUCCAGAAGAGGUGGACUAUUGUGAGCAAAGCUUAGGGUUCUGGAAAAGAUCUGAGAGAAUAAAGAGGCCUGCUUGGCUGGAGUAGAUGUUAGACUAGAGGAUAGGGAGAUAUAUUUUAGAUUUGAAGAGGUAGGUUGAGGCUUGGUCGUACUGCGUCUUGAGUGCCCAGGUGUCUCUCUUUGCUUGGGAUUCUAUUACAGGUGGAAGAUUUGCUUCUGUUUGUUGUGGAGGGAAUUUCUUUUCCAUAGCAAGUAUUUUCCCAAUGCAUUGUUAAGCCCAGGUUUACUGGUCAAAGAAUCUGACUUUUUCCUUCCUGCCUCCUCACCCUGAGCUUACAGCCUCCUUUCCUCUCAGUCUCUCCUCAGCCUCAGCUUCCUCCAGGAGUUUUCAUUGUGCUGUAGCCCAUCCUACAUUUCCUCACCCUGACAAUUGGGGGCUUUAAGAAAAGGGUUGGCAAAGUGCCUUCUCCAUGUACCCGCAUCUAUGUUUGCACCUGUGAGUUUUCCUAAGGUAAGCGUUGAGGGUAUGGCGUGUGUUUGACUGUUGGCAAUAGCUCUCAGCAUAUUCUAGGUGUCCAGUGAUCACAUGGUACCAGUCAGGGUUUGAGUUUCUGCCGCAUUUCCUGAGGAGACCAGAAAAGGUGCCAGCUCACAGAAUUGGCACUGCCUGACAUUUCUCCUUCAUUCUCCAGAACCCUGACCUCUGAACUGGCUGUCGCAUCGUAUCUGAUCCAUUGGUUUACUCACAUGCUGUGAUCUUGGGAAGCCCAGUGCGGUAGUGGUUAAACUGUUACAGUCCAUGAACUCUUUCAGUUUGGCAAAAGACCCCAGGAACGUGCUUCUCCUGCCAACAUCAGUCAGCAAUGCUUUAGGCUAAUAAUCCUUUAUAUUUGCAUAGUACUUUCUAGAUUGCAAAGCACUCACGUAUACAUUGUAUUGCUUUCUCCUCUUUAUAAUGACCCUGUGAAGUAAGCAGUUCUAUUGUUUAAAUAAAGAGACUGAGAAGUUAGGUGACUUGCCUAAGGCCGUGGAACUUGCCUAAGGUUAUCUUCAGAGGGAAAUUUGAAACCAGGACUCAUUUACCACUAGGCCACACUGCUAAGGGAGAUAGCAAGAAGCAUAAGAUCUAAUCCUGACCCAGUGGAUCAUAGAUCACAGACUUUGAAAGAGACCAGAUAAGCAGGAGCAGAAAAAUGACACUAGGUUCCAAGUGCCAAAUGAUUUCUACAGACAGUGAGUGCGCUAGCCAUACAGAGGAGAAAUUCCUCACAGUGGGUAAGGCUGAGAAGGCGCAGAGAAGGUGAUUGAAAUCCACCCCCUAAAAAAAAUGCACGCACACACACACAUAACAAAAAACAAAACUUAAGUUGGAGGUAACUUUUACAACUUGAACAAGGUCAUUUUGGACUAAAAGAUAUAGAAAAAAAAUGAAUAGCUUCUAAAAGAUAUAAACCGAACUAUGUGAAUGGACAGGGCAUUAAGUAAUCGUUGAAACUGGCCAAUAUUUAUUUAACUUUAAAUGUCAGCGAUGAUAGUCAUGACUUCUCUCUGUGCCUGCAGGGGUACGACUCAGAUGAAAACUGUGGACUUUGGAACCACAAGACUUGGUUCAAAAUCUCACUCUCUAGCCACGGGACCUGGGACAAGUUACUAAAACAUUUUGUACUUUAUUUUCCCGCUUUGUACCAAGUGAACAAUCAUUUCGCACUCAAACAAUUGUUGUGAAGAUUAAGUGAAUAAUAUAAAUGAAACUGACUAGGGGUUUUUAUAACUGUUUGUUUCUUUUUUAUUCAAACAUUUUGGUCCAUGAUUGGCAAAAGCAUCUUGAGCUGGAUGCACCAGGCAUUAGAUCCAGAGGCACCCUUUCUAUCUCCUAUGUACAAGGCUGUUUUAUCCAUUAAGCACUAUGGGCACAGUGCUUUAGGUGUACCGGCAUUACAUGGGGCAAUGGGAAGGUUUGGAAACUGAAAAGAAAAACCAGUUGCCUUUGAGUCAAUUCCGACUCAUGGUGACCCCAUGUGUGCAGAGUAGAGCUGUUCUCCAUAGGUUUUGAUGGCCGUGACCUUACAGAAACACAUAGCCAGACCUUUCUUCUGAGGCAUUUCUGGGUGGAUUCAAAUUGCCAAUCUUCCAGAUAGUAGAAGUGCACUUAACCAUUAAUGCCACCCAGGAACCAGAAUGAAAGGUUGUUGUUGUUAGUUCCUGAUAGAGUUGGUUCUGACUCAUGGUGACCCCAUGUGUGCAGAGUAGAACUGUUCCAUAGAGCCUUCAAGGCUGUUACCUUUCAGAAGCAGGUCACUAGGCCUGUCUUCUGAGGUGCCUCAGGGUGGGUACUGGUUUCAAAAUCUGAAAAUACUAAUGUAAAAGCAAAAUUAAGAAACAUUUAAUUAAAUGUAAAACAUAUCAGUUAUUAACUGCUUCUAAUUCUUAUGUAGCUAUAUAGAAAUUAUAUUUAAUGGGGGAUGUGGGUAAAUUUUAAAACGUUUAUUUGAUGUGGGAUGAAGACUCCAAAAACAAGAGAGCCUCAGACCUAUGAAGUUCUUCAAACAGCUCUGCUUCUACGGCUGGUAUGGUCCUGGAAUCCUUCAGGAAAGAGCCAUGGCUUUGCAUGCCAGGACGAGGCAGAGUCUGGUUAAUUGCUGUUUGGCACCACCUCCUCCUUUUGUGAAGCAGGCAUCGUGUCAGUGAGGAGUGCUGGAUGGAGCUGAAGUGUAUUGUACAGAAAGAAGAGGAAAUACUUUUCACAGAAGCUUGGAGCUCCCAGAAGUAGUUUUGUUUUCCAGCGAUUGAGUUCAAGCUUAUGCCUCCCAGAGUCACUGCAUUAAAGCAUAGAUAAUUGUAAAAGGAGAGUGACUACCAGAAUGCCCAUCAGACCAAAAACCAUGUGCGGCAAUAAGGAUUUAGUAGCUGGAGAAAUUGGCAAGAAGUUACUAGACCAAGUGGGGAGCACCUUCCCAGAAGGAGCAAAGGCAGAGCUGUCUGUGAUUUUUUGAAAGACUACUGAACCUGAAACACAGCUUGGGAAAGUGAGGCCUGAGGAAAUGUGACCAGGAUAUGCAAACUAGCAAAUGGAGCACCUGAGCUAACUACAGGAUGAGAAAGAAGCCAAGAACAAGGAGUGUGAAGUUUACCUGGUUUGUUGAACAGGUGUCAUCACUGACAUACAUCACUAAGCACCAAGAUGAGACAAAGGCAACUUCCUUCUUCUCCUGGUGUUGCUGUUUGCACUUGACAUGAGGGCCUUCUGAGGCUGCCAGGGCGAGUGGAGGGAUGUGGCAGUGAUCCGGCUCCACGGGGCUCAGGCCCCAGUGACCUUCAGCUCUGAGCACAACUUAACAAAGGACGGUCACAGCACACCUGGGCUCCCCAAGCCCUGUCCUCCAGUUUCCCUUUUCACUAAGCCAGAGAACGUUGAGUUUCUCUGGUGACGGGUACUGGGUGUGUAGGUAUCGGAGGAGGUACUGGAGGAGUGUUCCAGCUCUUUUUUUUCCACCUUGGCAUGGGAAAUGCUAUCAGAAUAACUUACUCAUGAACAGAACUGUGGGGAAAAAAAAGAGUAUCCUGAAAAAUUAUCGAAGUUGCACAUUCACCUCACUUUAAACAUAUGAUGAAA